AGCGGGGUAGAGUAACGGUCAACUCGUCAGACUCAUGAUCUGAAGAUGCAGGUUCGAAUCCCGCCCCCGCCA
Non-coding RNA from Corchorus olitorius, 72 nucleotides. The record is from Rfam. Lineage: Eukaryota; Viridiplantae; Streptophyta; Magnoliopsida; Malvales; Malvaceae.